Molecule: long non-coding RNA, 553 nt
Filed under: Phascolarctos cinereus (koala)
Lineage: Eukaryota; Metazoa; Chordata; Mammalia; Diprotodontia; Phascolarctidae
Description: lncRNA (ENSPCIG00000027879.2)
Source: RNAcentral
CCCUGACCUGGGGUAAGUCCUGCUGGUUUGAAUUGUGUGAAGUUGUCAAAGGUUGCUUUGCUCUCCAGAGCUUGGCACCAGCCCCACUGAAAUGUGAUGCCAUUGGUUUUCAGUAAAGGUUCCUUUCUGCAGGGCUGCAAACACUCAGAUCAGCUGCUACUGUGUAUACACAACUAGGGAACAAACCAACCGGCACAUUUAAAGCAGCCUUUUUAACCCCGAGACUUUCCAAGAUUUCUUCCUCCCCCAGGAAGUUUCCUUUUUUUCUAUUGUCAGACUUAGCACCGUGCUCUUGUAAUCAGAUCAGAGAGCUAGGAUCUCUGCUGCACAGUAGAGAGGCUUCCUUAAGAUAUUUGUCCUUGAAACUGCACCAAACUCUUGGAAGAACCCAGAACCUAGCUGGCAAUUUACUGGUUUAUCAACGAAAAAAUAUUGAAUAAUGAAGAUGUAAGAAAAAUUCCUGUGCACACGUUAUUGAAGUUUAAAAGUUUUCUAGGGAGCCUUAUAAUAUUCAGAAGAGGACAGAGAAGGAGACUUCCAGAGCUGAAAGGGU